Molecule: ribosomal RNA, 317 nt
Filed under: Gammaproteobacteria bacterium
Lineage: Bacteria; Pseudomonadati; Pseudomonadota; Gammaproteobacteria
Description: bacterial SSU rRNA
Rfam family: Bacterial small subunit ribosomal RNA
Source: RNAcentral
AUUUAAUUGAAGAGUUUGAUCAUGGCUCAGAUUGAACGCUGGCGGCAGCUUUAAUACAUGCAAGUCGAGCGAGAAAGUUUCUUCGGAAACGAGUAAAGCGGCGAACGGGUGAGUAACGCGUAGGAAUCUACCAUUCAGCGGGGGAUAGCUCGAGGAAACUCGAAUUAAUACCGCAUACACCCUACGGGGGAAAGAAGGCCUCUCCUUGGAAGCUUUCACUGUUUGAUGAGCCUGCGUGAGAUUAGUUUGUUGGUGAGGUAAUGGCUCACCAAGACUACGAUCUCUAGCUGGUCUGAGAGGACGAUCAGCCACACUGG